CCUACGGGAGGCAGCAGUGGGGAAUAUUGCACAAUGGGGGAAACCCUGAUGCAGCGACGCCGCGUGAGUGAAGAAGUAUUUCGGUAUGUAAAGCUCUAUCAGCAGGGAAGAAAUAGCGACCUUUGGGUCGCCAGACGGUACCUGACGAAGAAGCCCCGGCUAACUACGUGCCAGCAGCCGCGGGAAUACGUAGGGGGCAAGAGUUAUCCGGAUUUACUGGGUGUAAAGGGAGCGUAGACGGCAGCACAAGUCUGAAGUGAAAUGCCGGGGCUUAACCCCGGAACUGCUUUGGAAAAUGUGCAGCUAGAGUGCAGGAGAGGUAAGUGGAAUUCCUAGUGUAGCGGUGAAAUGCGUAGAUAUUAGGAGGAACACCAGUGGCGAAGGCGGCUUACUGGACUGUAACUGACGUUGAGGCUCGAAAGCGUGGGGAGCAAACAGGAUUAGAUACCCUAGUAGUC
Molecule: ribosomal RNA, 458 nt
Filed under: uncultured bacterium
Lineage: Bacteria
Description: partial 16S ribosomal RNA
Rfam family: Bacterial small subunit ribosomal RNA
Source: RNAcentral